GACAGAGGGUGCAAACGUUGUUCGGAAUUACUGGGCGUAAAGCGCGUGUAGGCAGUUUCGCAAGUCGGGUGUGAAAGCCCUGGGCUCAACCUAGGAAGUGCACUCGAAACUGCGAGACUUGAGUCCUGGAGAGGAAGGCGGAAUUCUCGGUGUAGAGGUGAAAUUCGUAGAUAUCGAGAGGAACACCGGUGGCGAAGGCGGCCUUCUGGACAGUGACUGACGCUGAGACGCGAAAGCGUGGGGAGCAAACGGG
This 253-nucleotide ribosomal RNA is filed under the name uncultured bacterium. Its description in RNAcentral is "partial 16S ribosomal RNA". It matches the Rfam family "Bacterial small subunit ribosomal RNA", at positions 524 to 776 of the family's 1533-position model. The record is from RNAcentral.